GUAGGUGGCAAGCGUUGUCCGGAAUUAUUGGGCGUAAAGCGCGCGCAGGUGGUUCUUUAAGUCUGAUGUGAAAGCCCCCGGCUCAGCCGGGGAGGGUCAUUGGAAACUGGGGAACUUGAGUGCAGGAGAGGAAAGUGGAAUUCCACGUGUAGCGGUGAAAUGCGUAGAUAUGUGGAGGAACACCAGUGGCGAAGGCGACUUUCUGGCCUGUAACUGACACUGAGGCGCGAAAGCGUGGGGAGCAAACAGGGAUUAGAUACCCUGGUAGUCCACGCCGUAAACGAUGAGUGCUAAGUGUUGGGGGGGUUUCCGCCCCCUCAGUGCUGCAGCUAACGCAUUAAGCACUCCGCCCUGGGAGUACGGCCGCAAGACUG
This 374-nucleotide ribosomal RNA is filed under the name uncultured organism. RNAcentral describes it as "partial 16S ribosomal RNA". It matches the Rfam family "Bacterial small subunit ribosomal RNA", at positions 527 to 896 of the family's 1533-position model. The record is from RNAcentral.